AUGCCGAUGCCGAUGCGAGGGCUCAGCUCCGUCCUGGCGCGGAGGGCCCGCUCACUGACCGGCGAUCCGGCGACCAUUCCUAGAUCCGCCGGUGGUCGGAUCACCUUAAGCGGCCGCCUGGACUCGGCAGCUGCGAGCACGAAGGCCUGUGAUGGUGGUGAAAUCGCCCGAUCCUGGAUCCCCAAGACAUCUACGAGCAAGUCCCUCGUCACAUCAGCCCUCUCUGGAUCUACCUGCAAGUCUAUCGUCACAUCAGCCCUCUCUGGAUAUACGUGCAAGUCCCUCGUCACAUCACCAGUGGCAUGUACUGUAGGAGACCCUGGGCUCUCCUCGAUCACCAAGGCUGUCUCAUCAAGCCAUGUCCCUCCAUUUGGGUUGAGGCCUGUUCACUCCAUACCGUGCCACCGUGUUCUCUAUCAGAGGCUUCUCUACACAGCAGGAAUAAACUGGGUAAAACUAGGCUGCACACCUCCUGUGUCACCUCGCCAUAUCAACACUGGUUGUGGCUGUUGUUUUGCCAUUGUUGCCGUGCAAAAUCUGGAGUCUGUUGUGCUAAUUGAAACAGGGAAGUACUCACGAUUGUCAGUUCAGGAGGUCAUAGAUUGCCUUGACAUUGACUAUCCGAUAAACUUAAUUCGGCGCCAAGGCCCCUGUCAGGCUGCUGACAAACCAAGAGCAAUUCAGCCUGCUGACAAACCCAAACCUGGAGCAAUUCAGGUCAUUGAGUGGGACCAGUUCCUGGGUCAUGAUGACUAUGUCAAACGGCUUCGCACUGACCCUCCAGUACCUGUUGAAGAUCAAUUUAAGAUUGCUUUGUUCACCUCACCUCUUUCUGUUCGGUUCAACGUCAACAAGUACUUUGUAAGAUAUGAUGUCGUGGGAACAAGUUCUGGCUGGUACAAAAUACUUGGGGAGCAGGCUGGGGGAGAAAUGGCUAUGCUCUUCUUCGACGUGGUGGGGAUCCUCGAGGUGUAG
RNAcentral lists this ribosomal RNA (975 nucleotides) under Triticum aestivum (bread wheat). RNAcentral's name for it is "partial small subunit ribosomal RNA". The record is from RNAcentral. Lineage: Eukaryota; Viridiplantae; Streptophyta; Magnoliopsida; Poales; Poaceae.